GCUGACACAGCCCAGCCAAUCUCCAGCAGACCCUCCCUCCCAGACCCUCCCACCUCCUGGACAGCAUCCAUGUUGAAGGCAGCUUCAACAUGGAUGCUGUCCAGGAGGUGGGAGGGUCUGGGAGGGAGGGUCUGCUGGAGAUUGGCUGGGCUGUGUCAG
Pelobates cultripes (western spadefoot toad) is the source of this 159-nucleotide non-coding RNA. NCBI's taxonomy places the organism in Eukaryota, Metazoa, Chordata, Amphibia, Anura, Pelobatidae. The record is from the annotation of a GenBank genome assembly.